This 253-nucleotide ribosomal RNA is filed under the name uncultured bacterium. RNAcentral's name for it is "partial 16S ribosomal RNA". It matches the Rfam family "Bacterial small subunit ribosomal RNA", at positions 524 to 776 of the family's 1533-position model. The record is from RNAcentral.
GACAGAGGUUGCAAGCGUUGUUCGGAAUUACUGGGCAUAAAGCGCACGUAGGCGGUCCGCUAAGUCAUGUGUGAAAUCCCCCGGCUCAACCGGGGAAUGGCGCCUGAUACUGUCGGACUCGAGAUCGGUAGGGGUGAGUGGAACUCCAGGUGGAGCGGUGAAAUGCGUAGAUAUCUGGAGGAACACCGGAGGCGAAAGCGACUCACUGGACCGACACUGACGCUGAGGUGCGAAAGCUAGGGUAGCAAACGGG